GAUGAACGCUGGCGGCGUGCCUAAUACAUGCAAGUCGAGCGAACGGACGAGAAGCUUGCUUCUCUGAUGUUAGCGGCGGACGGGUGAGUAACACGUGGAUAACCUACCUAUAAGACUGGGAUAACUUCGGGAAACCGUAGCUAAUACCGGAUAAUAUUUUGAACCGCAUGGUUCAAAAGUGAAAGACGGUCUUGCUGUCACUUAUAGAUGGAUCCGCGCUGCAUUAGCUAGUUGGUAAGGUAACGGCUUACCAAGGCAACGAUGCAUAGCCGACCUGAGAGGGUGAUCGGCCUCACUGGAACUGAGACACGGUCCAGACUCCUACGGGAGGCAGCAGUAGGGAAUCUUCCGCAAAGGGCGAAAGCCUGACGGGGCAACGCCGCGUGAGUGAUGAAGGUCUUCGGAUCGUAAAACUCUGUUAUUAGGGAAGAACAUAUGUGUAAGUAACUGUGCACAUCUUGACGGUACCUAAUCAGAAAGCCACGGCUAACUACGUG
RNAcentral lists this ribosomal RNA (497 nucleotides) under uncultured bacterium. RNAcentral's name for it is "partial 16S ribosomal RNA". It matches the Rfam family "Bacterial small subunit ribosomal RNA", at positions 28 to 507 of the family's 1533-position model. The record is from RNAcentral.